UGUACACAGGUUUGAAGACUGGCUGUUCCUCAGAUGCUCAGGAGUUUACCAGCUCUGAUAUCUCCACCUCCCGGCUGUGCUCUGCUGCUCAACGAUGUGCAUCUCCAGACCAGCAGCUUAGCGAUGGUAGCAGGAAUCAGCUGUCUGCUAGGAGCUACUCUCUCCUCUGGUGACCACAAAAUGGUGGAGUUCAAAAUCCUCAGGGUGUCAGAGAGGGUGCAUAGCAAGCUUGCUACUCUGGGCUUCAGGAGAGCAGACUUGGAACUCUUCAGGGAACUGCUUGGCAGAGUGACAUGGGAGAAAGCCCUGGAGGGAAGAGAGGCCCAAGAAAGCUGGUCAAUAUUCAAGAACCAUCUUCUCCUAGCCCAGAAGCAUUGCAUCCUGAGAAAAAGGAAGGCAGGCAAGAACGCCAGGAGGCCUCUGUGGAUCAACAAGGAGCUCUUAGACUUACUUAAAGUCUAUAGGGAGUGGAAGCAGGAACAGGUUGCCUGGGAGGACUGCAACGUUGUCAGAGCAGGCAGGGAAAAAGCUAAAACCCAGACAGAAUUAAAUCUAGCCAGGGACAGCGAGGGGACCAAGAAGAAAUUCUACAGGUAUAUCAGUGAUAAAUAGAAUGUCUGGGAGGAUGUGGACCCUCUCCGGUCGGAAACUGGAGAUCUGGUCACAGGAGAUAUGGAGA
RNAcentral lists this long non-coding RNA (679 nucleotides) under Gallus gallus (chicken). RNAcentral describes it as "lncRNA (ENSGALG00010002482.1)". Lineage: Eukaryota; Metazoa; Chordata; Aves; Galliformes; Phasianidae. The record is from RNAcentral.